CUCCAUCUGAUCCAGCUGUCCCUCUUCCAUUCUCCAGGAAUGAAACAAGUGCCUGUGCAGCAGGAAACAUUCCCUGAAGGAAGCAGUGAUUCUGUGCCUAACUCUGCUGCAGGAAGGGAGGCCAUGCCAGGCACAGUUUCAGGAGAUAAGGUUCCUGGCAAAGUUUCUCUAUUAGCUUGGCUGCAUAAUGUUGUGAAGCCCACUGGGCCUCCUGCAGUUACAGGUGUGUCUGCAGAGAGGACUUUGCCAGCUCCUGACCUGGUUACUGCACCCAAGCCCGGCUCCCAUCGCAGCAGUUCUCCAAGACAGAAGACCCAAGAUACAGCAGAAGAGAAAUCCCUGAAACGAUCAGAACUCAUACGGAAAAUGCUGAAGGAAUUCAAGCAGGGAGGACAAGG
Molecule: non-coding RNA, 398 nt
Organism: Cyanistes caeruleus (blue tit)
Lineage: Eukaryota; Metazoa; Chordata; Aves; Passeriformes; Paridae
Source: RefSeq, a predicted model, not a curated record